This 234-nucleotide ribosomal RNA is filed under the name uncultured bacterium. RNAcentral's name for it is "partial 16S ribosomal RNA". It matches the Rfam family "Bacterial small subunit ribosomal RNA", at positions 118 to 348 of the family's 1533-position model. The record is from RNAcentral.
UGAGGAACAUGACCUUCGGCGGGGGAUAGCCGGCCCAACGGCCGGGUAAUACCGCGUACGACCACAUGGGGACAUCCCUGAGUGGUGAAAGCAGCAAUGCGCCGAUGGAGUGCCUCGCGGCCUAUCAGCUAGUUGGUGAGGUAACGGCUCACCAAGGCGACGACGGGUAGCUGGUCUGAGAGGAUGGCCAGCCANAGUUGGGACUGAGACACGGCCCAGACCUCUACGGGGAGG